UGGGGAAUAUUGCACAAUGGAGGGAACUCUGAUGCAGCGACGCCGCGUGAGUGAUGAAGGAAUUCGUUUCGUAAAACUCUGUUCUAUGGGAAGAAAAGGACUGUACCAUAGGAGAAAGCUCCGGCUAAAUACGUGCCAGCAGCCGCGGUAAUACGUAUGGAGCGAGCGUUGUCCGGAAUUAUUGGGCGUAAAGGGUGCGCAGGCGGCUUUACAAGUUGGAUGUGAAAUAUUGUGGCUCAACCACAAACGUGCAUCCAAAACUGCAAAGCUUGAGUUAAGGAGAGGUAAGUGGAAUUCCUGGUGUAGCGGUGGAAUGCGUAGAUAUCAGGAGGAAUACCGGUGGCGAAGGCGACUUACUGGAUUUAAACUGACGCUCAGGCACGAAAGCGUGGGGAGCAAACAGG
RNAcentral lists this ribosomal RNA (404 nucleotides) under Fusobacteriota bacterium. RNAcentral describes it as "Fusobacteria bacterium partial 16S ribosomal RNA". It matches the Rfam family "Bacterial small subunit ribosomal RNA", at positions 355 to 776 of the family's 1533-position model. The record is from RNAcentral. Lineage: Bacteria; Fusobacteriati; Fusobacteriota.